CACCGACCCUCUCAUGACUCACUGGAAUGGCACGGCUCGGCACGGCUCCCUGUUUAUCAACGCGCACCGCCUCCCGCACAUAGAUGUCGCCAGCAGAACGGAGAGAUUAUCGGGAGAAGAAGCGCAGAAGUGCACGAGCUCCGCGCUCUGAGCCGCCGGAGAGACAAAGACAACGGAGCGCAGCGCCACCGUCGCUGUCAAAGUAGAGCCGCUCCUGGUGGUCACCACCUUUACGGAACUGCUCCCCGUGGUCACCGUCGUCCAUACACACUACUACUCCCUGUGGACUGAGACUCUUGAGGACCAAGGAAACAACUUCACCGUGGGAAAUAACUGCAGAAACAGGAGAAGCACCAGUCUCGCCUCGCCAGUGGUUCAUCAGUAGAUCGACGUGCCAAAUUUGAUAUUGGAGAUGAGGAGGCCCACGGGAACACAAAUUAUCUCAUCAUUCCUUGGGUGAGUGGGAGCGCUGGGAUUCUCUCUAUCUCCUUUCUCAAAGAAAAACCAAAAAGUAAGUAGAUGCCCACAGGAUUGCGAGCGUAACGCGGUAAAGUGAAUUCUCCUCCACGCGUUACGUUGUCUGAUGGAGCCGGCAGCCCACCGCAGGAAAAGAACCAGUAGCUCUCAGCACGCACUUGUGUGUUCGUUCCUCCCAAGCUGACAUGCGUGUAGCGCUUCUGGGGGAGAUGCAACAGUAGGGUAAUUGACUACAACUAUGCUGGGAGAAAAGAGGUAAAAAGGCAAAAGAUGGCAACCUUAGCUUUGCAGCUCAGCACAGACUAACCUCAGCCUCCCACCCCCUGGUGAGACACUAGCGAAAGAACCGCGAGCCGCGCCAACGUCCCACACCAAAUGCAAACACCUCAGGGAUAUUUCUGCAAAUCCCUUGACAGGUUUAAAUAGACUGUGGCUGCCU
Long non-coding RNA from Scleropages formosus (Asian bonytongue), 916 nucleotides. RefSeq lists it as uncharacterized. The transcript has 3 exons. NCBI's taxonomy places the organism in Eukaryota, Metazoa, Chordata, Actinopteri, Osteoglossiformes, Osteoglossidae. The record is from RefSeq and is a predicted model, not a curated record.